UGGACAUGUAAAUUGUGUGCCAGGAAAUGAAUUCCUUAUAACAUUUCUUGCCAGAAGCUAAAUUCUAGUAAAUAUGCAUAUUGUCGUCAAUUUACUACAAAAUCCAAGCGAUCUCUGCAAGCAACUCCCUUAACCGAGGUGCCUACGUAUUAUUUUCCUUUGGGUUUCAACUUGAAAUAUUGUGUCACCAACUCUGGAAAUCCAGUUGACUACCAGCUGGCAAGAAACAGGUUUCCUUUUGAAGCUGAAUGAAGUACAAGGCAGUAGAAAUAUUAAGAACGGAUUCGCCCUGGUUUAACGGGGAGAAGGGCCUGUGCUCUGAUGUCCUCCUUGAAACACUGCUCUCAACGCCACGCUGUGGGCGGAUGUUUUCCGGAAACUUCUAACGCUGUCAGACUAACGCGCGACAGCUACGCACACAUGGUUCAGCAGGGAGAUUUUCUUCUCAAAAAAAAUGCGAGACUGCACACUGACGUGAAGGUGCUGAAGUCCAGCGCUGAGGCACCGGGGCCGUAACUCAUUCUCGGGUAGCGUUACUAAGAUAACAAAACCGCGCAGGCUGUUUUUCCAGCCCCGCGUUUGGAGAAGAAGCAGAGCGCGGCUGUCAGGCGAGCGGCCGGCUCUGCGCAAGGUCUCCCGUCCUGCCACGUCCCCCUCUCGCCCCCGGCCGCAGUCGCUCGCCCCUUUCGCUCUGAAAAUAAAUCAGCCUCGCCUGCCACGGUUUGAUUUCUGUCUUGCUCUCCGCCUCCGGCCGCGGGUGCCGCGCUCUCUUUGAAAGCCGCCGUCCACCGCACCAUAUGGCAGCUGAGGGAAGGGCGCAGCAACGCCGCGGCUCCGCACAAAAGCGGCCGCGGGAUCAACGCGCCUCAUGAAUGCAUGAGACACGGUCAUGUAUAGCGAAGCGCCUCGGGCCCGAGCGGCGAGGGCUAAAGAGGAGGCUGAGAGGCGCCGCCACGGCCUCGGCGCGCAGAAAGGCGGCGGCCCUCUCGGCAGCCUUCCCCCCCAAAUCCUAUUAGCUCCGUUAAGGACGCGAGACACAAAGUCUGGCAGAACAGGACGCGCUGUUAGGCCGCUUGAUUUACUCCCUAUCGCUGUUUUUGAGAGAUGAUCGUGUUACUAAAAGAGAAGAUAGAGCUGGCUUUCAUACCGCACCUAGGAGUAAACAGGCAAGCCCUAUCGCGCGGAGGAGCGCGCGCCCUACUCCACGUGCGCCGGCACGCUUACCGCAAACCGAACGCUGCCGGCAGAAACCUGGAAACCGUUGGCAGCGUAGUAUCUACUGACGGGUUUAUUUUACCAAACCACUCUCUCAACCUGCUGCUGAUAGAGACAAAGGACUU
Molecule: long non-coding RNA, 1340 nt
Organism: Rhea pennata
Lineage: Eukaryota; Metazoa; Chordata; Aves; Rheiformes; Rheidae
Exons: 3
Source: RefSeq, a predicted model, not a curated record